CUGCAGUUGGGACCCGUUCAC
This 21-nucleotide microRNA is filed under the name Xenopus laevis (African clawed frog). Its description in RNAcentral is "xla-miR-191-3p". Its record names the gene xla-miR-191-3p. Lineage: Eukaryota; Metazoa; Chordata; Amphibia; Anura; Pipidae. The record is from miRBase by way of RNAcentral.